This 200-nucleotide unclassified non-coding RNA is filed under the name Agaricaceae sp. Its description in RNAcentral is "partial internal transcribed spacer 2". The record is from RNAcentral. Lineage: Eukaryota; Fungi; Basidiomycota; Agaricomycetes; Agaricales; Agaricaceae.
UUAAGUUCAGCGGGUAGUCCUACCUGAUUUGAGGUCAAAUGUUCAGUAAUGAGUUUGUCCGCAAGAACGGGACGGUUGGAAGCUGAACAACACAGAGAGCGACCCACUGAGCGUAGAUAAUUAUCACACCUGUGGACGGAUCGCAAACGGUUCCGCUAAUGCAUUUCAGAGGAGCCGACCUAAGAAAAAGGCCCGCAAAA